RNAcentral lists this long non-coding RNA (1161 nucleotides) under Equus caballus (horse). RNAcentral describes it as "S100 calcium binding protein A6 (ENSECAG00000008401.3)". The record is from RNAcentral. Lineage: Eukaryota; Metazoa; Chordata; Mammalia; Perissodactyla; Equidae.
GGGUGUUCGUGUUGUGUAAACCACGGGCGCGGGGUGGGGCGCGGGGUGGGGCGCGGGGCGGGCCCUGGGCGGGUAGGGUGGACACACCGGCCGGUAUAAGGCGGGCGCCCGGUCGGCUACACAGCGCAUCACCUCGACCGCUCCGUCUGCGCUUCGCUGCGGCCCCGGGUGAGUUCUCGCCAGCGCGGCCCGGCGCCCCCGCCUUCGCCCAGCCGCCGCCUGCCCCCGGGGGGCUGCUGCGGACUCUGCGGGCGGCGCCGGGAUCCCGCUGCGGCGUCUGCGAGCCCCUGGGCCGGCGGGAGGGUCGGGAGCGGCGGGCCAGCCCCGGGCUGGGCGUGCGGCGGGGCGGCUCCCCGCGCUCUGCUGGGGCGCGGGAGGGUGUGGCCUGGGUGUGUCAACGCCGCAGCUGUGGUCUUGUGAGGCUGUGUGUGGGGCUGGUUGUGCUGCCUCCACCUCCCCGCCCCCCAUCCUCCCCAACUUCUCCUGGAACCCCUGGAGUUCUCAGCUGUGGCCCUAUUUGCUCUUUAGGAUCCUUGCACCACCUCUCCUCGUGUCCCCCUCAGGCCGCUGAUCUCCUGAACCUAGAGUUUGCCCACUCGCUCCCCUUCAAGCCCUGGGUUGUCUCCUGAGGCCACCUGUGUGUGCCUGAGGCUGGGUGGUUCAGGCAGGCAGACAAAAGGAGUGCGUGGGUUCGAGGAGAAGGGGACAGAGCUCCUGGGGUGUUGGGUGAGUGGGAAGCCCCUGCUGACCAGCCCCUCUGCCCCCAGCUCUGAGUCCAGCCUUCAGCCAUGGCGUGCCCCCUGGAUCAGGCCAUCAGCCUCCUCGUGGCUAUCUUCCACAAGUACUCCAGCAGGGAGGGCGACAAGAACACCUUGAGCAAGGGUGAGCUGAAGGAGCUGAUCCAGAAGGAGCUCACCAUUGGCGCUGAGCUGGAGGACUCGGAAAUUGCAAAGCUGUUGGAUGACCUGGACCAGAACAAGGACCAGGUGGUGAACUUCCAGGAAUAUGUCACCUUCCUUGGGGCUUUGGCUAUGAUAUACAAUGAAGUCCUCAAGGCCUGCAGUUAAGUUGGCAAAGUGGAGACACACUCUAGUGGGCUUGUCUGAGUCAAAUCCAGUGGUUGUUAAUUGUACAAUAAAUAUUCUUUUUGGUCGAAUCUAC